This 3870-nucleotide long non-coding RNA is filed under the name Amborella trichopoda. RNAcentral's name for it is "long non-coding RNA (ATRI_LNC002096)". Lineage: Eukaryota; Viridiplantae; Streptophyta; Magnoliopsida; Amborellales; Amborellaceae. The record is from RNAcentral.
AAUGUUUUUGUUGAGUAAUGAUGGAAGACAAGGAUUUGUAAGUUUCACAAUAUGGAUUUUGUAGUAUUGCCUUUCCUGCAAAUGCAUUGCCUGUGGAAGUUGAUGGAUAACCAACGGCCAUUGUAAAGGAUUGUUAAGAUGCUUAAUACAAAUUUUGUAGUACCACUCUAUAUGAACAUUUAUUGAAUCCCUCAAGUUCAUUGUUUUUCUAAUCUAAUCUUCUAUUUUUCAUUGCAGACUAAACGAACUACAGGAUUAUAGGUUGUGAGUGUUUUGAGGAUUUUCUUCUAAGGUUCUCUCCUGUCCUGUUGCCUGGGUUCUGUUUUUUAUGUUUGUUUUUGGAUUAUUUUCUUCUCCCGAAGUUACUUAGUUCCAUGCUCAGCAGAGUUUGGAAGCUCUUAUUCAUUAGAUAAGCAUGCAUGCUUCAUACAUGUGCAUAUAUGCCUAUGAAUCUUUGUUUGUUUUGGCUUUGGAAGGUGGGGAAUAGUUUUGCAUGUACUCGUAGUUGUGUUUUCACAACAUACGCAUGCACCUGUUUCUAUAUUUAGAAAUGUCGUUGUAACCCGUAGGAAGUUAAUGAAGUACAUAGUGCUAGUUGGGCUAUUUUUGAGUGCCAGUUACAGGCAAGUUUCUUGCCAAGUCGAUCGUCUGUGAGUUACUGCUGAGUCUACUGCUAUAACUAUUGGGAUAUUUAGUUAAAGACUAAUUCGUGAAAAAUAAAAUUCCCAAACUUGCAAUGGUGUCGCCUUUUGAACUUCAUGCAGACACCAGAAUGAUGUGGCCAUUCAGUGUUUUGGCUGGCACAAGAUUUUAAAAAGUUGUCUGAAAUUUCAUAACAUGUUUGGAUUUGGACUGACACACAAUAACCGGUAUUCGGCUGGUUCAUUCGAGGAUAGUAAAGCAUGUUAUCAUAACUUCUAAAUAAAAUAUUUGCUUUCUCCAUUCAAAAAUAACUGAUGCAUUCAUAGGAAUGCUGUUCGUUAUACUACUAUAGUAAAAGUGUUUGGUCCAUUUAUUUACCUCAGGUUAUCGUAAUAAAAUAUUUGUUCUCUUCAUUGAGAUGGCACCGAUCGGCGAUAAGAUGAGAUAAAGUAGAUUUAGGUGGGCUGGCCAUAUGUAUUACAAACCCUAUGCAGCACCUAUUAGGAGGUGCGAGUUAGUUGAAGAGGAAAGCUCAAAAAGGGCAAGGGGUAGGCCAAAAUGAUAUGGUUGGAAGUAGUGAGCAAUUAUUAGAUUGCAUCCUUAUAUAAACUUUUCCUUUGCAUGCAGUUGGCAUACAGAUGCAUUCGUAGAUGUAGAGGUAAGGUGCAUCUUCAAAUUUUAUCAUGAUGUAUAAUUUUGAUUUAAAAUAUUAUUAGGAUUAUCUCACAAUCUAUUUUUAUAUCUAAUUAUAAAAUUUUAAAUUUAAAAAAUUAUUAAAGUCAAGUAGAUCUAUAAACAUAUGAAAAUAUUGAAAAUGGACGGUGUAGAUAAUAUACCGUAAAAUGCACUAUUUAUGAGUCUUAAAAUUUUUUUAUUUUUAAUAGAUGAUCAAUCGAAGGGUUUUUCAACAUUAAAAGUACAUGUUUUCGAGGGAUUUUUUAGGGGCAUUCCGUAGUUCUGCAUUAUGAGGUAGCAUCCUUAAAUAAACUUUUUCGCCCCUCAAAACCCUCGCAUUUUUCUCUCCACUCUCGCGCUAAGAGGAGCUCUCUCUCCUCUCUCUAAAAAUCCUUCACUAACUAAUGCACUCCUCUCUUCUCUCUCUAAAAUUCUAAAACCUCCCUGGAACUACUGCGCACUGUUUCCCUUCACUCUCUAAAUUUGAGAUUUAUAUCUCUCUCUGCCCAUUACACCUGUGGCCAUCUCUCUCUCCUGUCUCGCUCAUCUCUCUCUCUCUCCUCUCCUCUCCUUUUAUCACCUCGACUUCCGCUCUCUGGGAACCCUAAACUCUCUAUCCUCGCUCGAAUACAUCCCCCCAUUGUUUUUCCUUACGCACAGUUACACAAGGUAUGUCUCUCUCUCUCUCUCUGAACAAAUAAGGACUGGUUUUGACAACGAAGAAAAGCGUCAAAUAUUAUUUUGCUGUAUAGGAUCAAAUAAGAAAACGAAGCACAAAAAGAAAUAAGAGUAUCAACUAUACCAUUUUGAUUAAAGCAUGUUUUAUAUUUUGUUACUUAUGUACUGAUUUUCAAAUUUUUUACUGUUUUUUGCAGUGUAAAAACAAGUCAGAACACCAAAUAAGAACACCAAAUACACCCAUUUUGAUAAGAAACCAGAUUUUAUCGUUGUUGCUGAUUUUAUAUUGAUUUGGCAUCCACCACAGUGCUUCUUUUUUUUACUGAUUUUUCAAUGUUCCCAAAUCUCUGCUGGUUCUUUUUUAUUAUUUGUUGCUGAGCUCUUCAUUUGCUAAUAUUUGUUGGUUGCAUUAAUAUGCUUCUCUCCUUUUUUGUAUAUUGUUCUCCUUUUCUGUUGAUUUUUUUAUUGUUUAAUUGCAGCAUAUUUUGAAGUUUUUAUUUGAAUUUUUUAUUUUGAAUAUUUGGAUCGGUCUCUCUGUUAUAAUAUGUUACUGAUUCUGGUCAUUUCCAUCACUCUAUGACAUUGUUUAGUGUUGGGGAUCUCGUGGAUUCAAGCAUUGUUGCAUGUCAAAUUAUUGGAUUAUUCUUUAGAUGGGAUGAUACAUUCCAGACCUUGGUCUGCAAUUUUAUAUUUUUGUUCCGAACAUUUGCUCUGUCACUGUAUCUGUUAAUGAGGUACUGAUUUUGUUCAUUUCAUCAGUCAAUGCAUAAUCUAGGUUUUGGGGUCAUUUCUGUAGCAAAUUUUAGGUUUGCUCAUGAGAUUGGAUGAUAUAUUUGCUACAGUCCAAGGGAGCGUCUAUUUGCAAUGGCACUUCUCUAGUGCAAUGGCAAUUCUUUACUCUUGAACUCAAGACUGUGUCCGUUAACAUGUGCAGAUUUGUUUGAUUUUAUGGACAUCUUGAGAUUUGUGGAUCCAUUAAUGCGUGCUUUUACAUUUUUUGGGAUAUUUCACGACUCUAAUUUCAUCUUAGGUCAAGUUCUUGGUUUAUUCGAAAGCCUCUCUAUAUUUCACAACUCUAAUUUCAUGCUUGGUUUCUUGGAGCACAAAAUCAAUAAUUUUCAUUAACAAUCAUGGUUUAUUCGAAAGCCUCUCUAUCUCCCAUGAAUAAUAGUUCCAAACAUUUUAAAUUUACACAAAAAGGUUCUUGAUCUUCAUGUACUCUGGUUUCUAAGACCCUCUCAUUGGUUUGAUAAAAGAACUAGUUCUUGAUUGAAUUCUGUGAAAUUGCUUUCUGAAAUUGCCUAUGAAAUUGUUGUAGUUUGAUACUCACCUAUGAAAUUGUUGUAGUUUGAUACUCAUAGGUCAUGUUAGGGCCUGAAUUGUAUGACUUUUAAUGGUUUUCUAGUUCUUAGUUUUGACUUCAUAUCCAUCAGGUCUGGGGACUGGGUUACCCCCUCACCCCCCACAAAAAAAAUAAAAUAAAAAAUGUUAUCAUUAAAACAUCUGUUCCCAACACGAAUUCGGUAUGGACCUAGAUGAUGCAUGGUUCGAUUUCAAGCCACUCUAUGGUUGUCACCUGCAGAGUGAGUUUUUCAACUUACUCGGUGCUUAUGUCAAGAGAAUAGUCCUCCCUCUCAUAAGUAUCUUGAGCAUUCGAAUUCAUGGCCUUAAAAACCGUUCAGCUCAAGGAGAGCUUAGCUUUAAUCCACGGGCUAAAUUCAAAUUUUGAUUCUAUUUCUAGUUGUCAUAAAACAUGAUCACUAGUCAUGCUCUAUAUACUAUUAAUAAAUAUUGUUGGUGGGAUAUGUUAUAGGGAGUUACUUGAUUUCAUUUAAUAUCAAGCUAGUUAGUGUAGAUGGUGUAAGCAAUGACUAG